CAGCAGCCGCGGUAAUACGAAGGGGGCUAGCGUUGUUCGGAAUUACUGGGCGUAAAGCGCACGUAGGCGGACAUUUAAGUCAGGGGUGAAAUCCCGGGGCUCAACCUUGGAACUGCCUUUGAUACUGGAGAUCUUGAGUCCGGGAGAGGUGAGUGGAACUGCGAGUGUAGAGGUGAAAUUCGUAGAUAUUCGCAAGAACACCAGUGGCGAAGGCGGCUCACUGGCCCGGUACUGACGCUGAGGCGCGAAAGCGUGGGGAGCAAACAGGAUUAGAUACCCCCGUAGUCCCUGUCUCUUAUAC
This 301-nucleotide ribosomal RNA is filed under the name uncultured bacterium. Its description in RNAcentral is "partial 16S ribosomal RNA". It matches the Rfam family "Bacterial small subunit ribosomal RNA", at positions 509 to 807 of the family's 1533-position model. The record is from RNAcentral.